GACGAACGCUGGCGGCGUGCUUAACACAUGCAAGUCGAACGGAAAGGCCCUGCUUUUGUGGGGUGCUCGAGUGGCGAACGGGUGAGUAACACGUGAGUAACCUGCCCUUGACUUUGGGAUAACUUCAGGAAACUGGGGCUAAUACCUGAUAGGAGCUCCUGCUGCAUGGUGGUGGUUGGAAAGUUUCGGCGGUUGGGGAUGGAGUCGAGGCUUAUGAGCUUGUUGGUGGGGUAGUGGCUUACCCAGGCUUUGACGGGUAGCCGGCCUGGGAGGGUGAACGGCCACAUUGGGACUGAGAUACGGAGCAGACUCCUACGGGAGGCAGCAGUGGGGAAUAUUGCACAAUGGGCGGAAGUCUGAUGCAGCAACGCCGCGUGCGGGAUGACGGCCUUCGGGUUGUAAACCGCUUUCGCCUGUGACGAAGCGUGAGUGACGGUAAUGGGUAAAGAAGCACCGGCUAACUACGUG
This 468-nucleotide ribosomal RNA is filed under the name uncultured bacterium. RNAcentral's name for it is "partial 16S ribosomal RNA". It matches the Rfam family "Bacterial small subunit ribosomal RNA", at positions 28 to 507 of the family's 1533-position model. The record is from RNAcentral.